CAGCCGCCACGGUAAUACGUAGGGUGCAAGCGUUAAUCGGAAUUACUGGGCGUAAAGCGUGCGCAGGCGGUUAUAUAAGUCAGAUGUGAAAUCCCCGGGCUCAACCUGGGAACUGCAUUUGAGACUGUAUGGCUAGAGUGUGUCAGAGGGGGGUAGAAUUCCACGUGUAGCAGUGAAAUGCGUAGAUAUGUGGAGGAAUACCGAUGGCGAAGGCAGCUCCCUGGGCCAAUACUGACGCUCAUGCACGAAAGCGUGGGGAGCAAACAGGAUUAGAUACCCGGGUAGUCCCUGUCUCUUAUAC
This 301-nucleotide ribosomal RNA is filed under the name uncultured bacterium. Its description in RNAcentral is "partial 16S ribosomal RNA". It matches the Rfam family "Bacterial small subunit ribosomal RNA", at positions 509 to 807 of the family's 1533-position model. The record is from RNAcentral.